RNAcentral lists this ribosomal RNA (505 nucleotides) under uncultured Mobiluncus sp. RNAcentral describes it as "partial 16S ribosomal RNA". Lineage: Bacteria; Bacillati; Actinomycetota; Actinomycetes; Actinomycetales; Actinomycetaceae. The record is from RNAcentral.
CACGUAGUUAGCCGGCGCUUCUUCCCCCACUACCAUCAACACAGCCAAAACUGUGCCUUUUUCGCGAGAAAAAGGAGUUCACAACCCGAAGGCCUACACCCUCCACGCGGCGUCGCUGCAUCAAACUUUCGUCCAUUGUGCAAUAUUCCCCACUGCUGCCUCCCGUAGGAGUCUGGGCCGUAUCUCAGUCCCAGUGCGACCGACCACCCUCUCAGGCCGGCUACCCGUCAAAGCCUUGGUAAGCCAUCACCCCACCAACAAGCUGAUAGGCCGCGAGCCCACCCAAUCCCAGAAAAAACCUUUCCAAACCACACCAUGCGAUGCAGCCUGAAUAUCCAGUAUUAGCAGCCGUUUCCAGCCGUUAUCCCAAAGAAAAGGACAGGUUACUCACGUGUUACUCGCCCGUUCGCCACUAAUCCACCACAGCAAGCUGCGGCUUCAUCGUUCGACUUGCAUGUGUUAAGCACGCCGCCAGCGUCGUCCUGUAGCCGAGAGUCAAACUACU